GACGAACGCUGGCGGCGUGCUUAACACAUGCAAGUCGUACGGUAAGGCCCUUUCGGGGGUACACGAGUGGCGAACGGGUGAGUAACACGUGAGUAACCUGCCCACAACUUUGGGAUAACGCUAGGAAACUGGUGCUAAUACUGGAUAUGUGCUCCUGCUGCAUGGUGGGGGUUGGAAAGCUCCGGCGGUUGUGGAUGGACUCGCGGCCUAUCAGCUUGUUGGUGGGGUAGUGGCCUACCAAGGCGGCGACGGGUAGCCGGCCUGAGAGGGUGACCGGCCACAUUGGGACUGAGAUACGGCCCAGACUCCUACGGGAGGCAGCAGUGGGGAAUAUUGCACAAUGGGCGCAAGCCUGAUGCAGCAACGCCGCGUGCGGGAUGACGGCCUUCGGGUUGUAAACCGCUUUCAGCAGGGAAGAAGCUUUUUGUGACGGUACCUGCAGAAGAAGCACCGGCUAACUACGU
This 464-nucleotide ribosomal RNA is filed under the name uncultured bacterium. RNAcentral's name for it is "partial 16S ribosomal RNA". It matches the Rfam family "Bacterial small subunit ribosomal RNA", at positions 28 to 506 of the family's 1533-position model. The record is from RNAcentral.